GCAUAUCAAUAAGCGGAGGAAAAGAAACUACAACUGCAUUCCCUAGUACGGCGAGUGACCGGGAAGAGCUCAAAUUUGAAAUCUGGCGUCCUCAGGGCGUCCGAGUUGUAAUCUAUAGAGGCGUUUUCCGUGCCGGACCGUGUCCAAGUUCCUUGGAACAGGAUAUCAAAGAGGGUGACAAUCCCGUACUUGACACGACGACCGGUGCUCUGUGAUACGUCUUCUACGAGUCGAGUUGUUUGGGAAUGCAGCUCAAAAUGGGUGGUGAGUUCCAUCUAAAGCUAAAUAUUGGCGAGAGACCGAUAGCGAACAAGUACCGUGAGGGAAAGAUGAAAAGCACUUUGGAAAGAGAGUUAAACAGUACGUGAAAUUGUUGAAAGGGAAACGAUUGAAGUCAGUCGUGACCGAGAGGCUCAGCCGGUUCUGCCGGUGUAUUCCCCUCGGUCGGGUCAACAUCAGUUUUGUCCGGUGGAUAAGGGCAGUAGGAAGGUGGCACCCUCGGGUGUGUUAUAGCCUGCCGUCGCAUACAUCGGGUGAGACUGAGGAACGCAGCUCGCCUUUAUGGCCGGGGUUCGCCCACGUCCGAGCUUAGGAUGUUGACAUAAUGGCUUUAAACGACCCGUCUUGAAACACGGACC
This 638-nucleotide ribosomal RNA is filed under the name Papiliotrema laurentii. RNAcentral describes it as "eukaryotic LSU rRNA". It matches the Rfam family "Eukaryotic large subunit ribosomal RNA", at positions 38 to 667 of the family's 3401-position model. Lineage: Eukaryota; Fungi; Basidiomycota; Tremellomycetes; Tremellales; Rhynchogastremaceae. The record is from RNAcentral.